UCCUUGAGUGGUUCUGCCAAAGCCCAGAAUGUGAAAGUCCUUGAGUGGUUCUGCCAAAGCCCAGAAUGUGAAAGUCCUUGAGUGGUUCUGCCAAAGCCCAGAAUGUGAAAGUCCUUGAGUGGUUCUGCCAAAGCCCAGAAUGUGAAAGUCCUUGAGUGGUUCUGCCAAAGCCCAGAAUGUGAAAGUCCUUGAGUGGUUCUGCCAAAGCCCAGAAUGUGAAAGUCCUUGAGUGGUUCUGCCAAAGCCCAGAAUGUGAAAGUCCUUGAGUGGUUCUGCCAAAGCCCAGAAUGUGAAAGUCCUUGAGUGGUUCUGCCAAAGCCCAGAUUUGAAUCCCAUCGAAACAUUUCUAAAACAAUGUUUUCACUUUGUUAUUUAUUCGGGUAUUGUAUGUAGAUGGGUGAGAUUUAAAAAUAAAUAUAUAUAUAUAUAUAUUUUAAAUUCAGGUUGUAACACAGCAAACUGUGGCUUUAAGUCCAGGGGUAAGAAUACUUUCUGAAAGCUCUGUAUACAUUGUGAAAGACCUCUUGAUUGGCUCCACAUUUAUUCGGGUUACAGCCUGACUCUAAAAUGGAUUAAAUUGUUUUUGUCCCCUCAACAAUCGACACACAAUACCCGAUAAUGACAAAGCAAAGAAACAGGUUUUCAGAAAUGUUUGCCCAUUUUUAUUACAGAAGCUGAAAUGACAUUUACAUAAGUAUUCAGACCCUUUACUCAGUACUUUGUUGAAGCACCUUUUGGCAGUUAUUUCAUAGUUUUGAUAUCUUCACUAUUAUUCCACAAUGUAGAAAAUAGUAACAAAUAUUGAAAAACCUUGGAAUGAGUAGGCGUGUCCAAAUUUUUGACUGGUACUGUAUAUUUAAAACCAAAUACUUAUAUACUUUUACUCAAGCAAGUAGUAUUUUACUGAGUGACUUAAACUUUUACUUGAGUCAUUUUCUGUUCAUGUAUAUUUUCUUUUACUUAAGUAUGACAAUUGAGCACUUUUUCCACCACUGUUCUUUGCUCUGUUCAUCUUUCCCUCGAUCCUGACUAGUCUCCCAGUCCCUGCUGCUAAAAAAACAUCCCCACAACAUGAUGCUGCCACCACCAUGCUUCACCGUAGGGAUGGUGCCAGGUUUCCUCCAGAAGUGAUGCUUGGAAUUCAGGUCAAAUAGUUACAUCUUGGUUUCAUCAGACCAGAGAAUCCUCUUUCUCAUGGGCUGUCCUUUUGGUGCCUUUUGGCAAACUCCAAGCGGGCUGUCGUGUCUUUUACUGAAGAGUGGCUUCCGCCUGACCACUAGCAUAAAUGCCAUAUUUGGUGGAGUGCUGCAGAGAGGGUUGUCCUUCUGGAAGGUUCUCCCAUCUCCACAGAGGAACUCUGGAGCUCUGUCAGAGUGACCAUUGGGUUCUUGGUCACCUCCCUGACCAAGACCCUUCUCCCCCAAUUGCUCAGUUUGUCCGGGCGGCCAGCUCUAGGAAGAGUAUUGGUGGUUCCAAACUUCUUCCAUUUAAGAAUGAUGGAGGCCACUGUGUUCUUGGGGACAUUUCAAUGCCUCAAAAACUAUUUAGGUACCCUUCUCCAGAUCUGUGCCUCGACACAAUCCUGUCUCAGAGCUCUACAGACAAUUCCUUCGACCUCAUGACUUGUUUUUUUUUGUUGCUCUGACAGGCACUGUCAACUGUGGUACCUUUUAUAUAGACAGGCGUGUGCCUUUCCAAAUCAUGUCCAAUCAAUUGAAUUUACCACAGGUGGACUCCAAUCACGUUGUAGAAACAUCUCAAAGAUGUUCAAUGGAAACAGGAUGCACCUCAAUUUCGAGUCUCAUAGCAAAUGUUCUAAUUACUUUUAUGUAAGUAAGGUAUUUCUGUUUUUAUCUAAAUUUGCUGAAGAAAUCUGCAAACCUGUUUUUGCUUUGUCAUUAUGGGGUAUUGUGUGUAGAUUGAGGGGGGUGACCUAAUCCAUUUUAGAAUAAGGCUGUAACAUAAUGUGGAAAUGGUCAAGAGGUCUGAAUACUUUCCGAAUGCACUGUAUAGCCCCUCCCUAGGUAUCAGUCAGAGCUAUCUCUCCUCUCUUCUCCCUGGGUAUCAGUCAGAGCUAUCUCUCCUCUCUUCUCCCUAGGUAUCAGUCAGAGCUAUCUCUCCUCUCUUCUCCCUAGGUAUCAGUCAGAGCUAUCUCUCCUCUCUUCUCCCUAGGUAUCAGUCAGAGCUAUCACUCCUCUCUUCUCCCUAGGUAUCAGUCAGAGCUAUCACUCCUCUCUUCUCCCUAGGUAUCAGUCAGAGCUAUCACUCCUCUCUUCUCCCUAGGUAUCAGUCAGAGCUAUCACUCCUCUCUUCUCCCUAGGUAUCAGUCAGAGCUAUCACUCCUCUCUUCUCCCUAGGUAUCAGUCAGAGCUAUCACUCCUCUCUUCUCCCUAGGUAUCAGUCAGAGCUAUCACUCCUCUCUUCUCCCUAGGUAUCAGUCAGAGCUAUCACUCCUCUCUUCUCCCUAGGUAUCAGUCAGAGCUAUCUCUCCUCUCUUCUCCCUAGGUAUCAGUCAGAGCUAUCACUCCUCUCUUCUC
Oncorhynchus keta (chum salmon) is the source of this 2537-nucleotide long non-coding RNA. RefSeq lists it as uncharacterized. The transcript is spliced from 3 exons. Lineage: Eukaryota; Metazoa; Chordata; Actinopteri; Salmoniformes; Salmonidae. The record is from RefSeq and is a predicted model, not a curated record.